AUGAAACAUUUGAUGGGAGCAUCUCUUGGUCCAGGCUACCUGCUUGAGAGAGAUGGGGAAGGUGAGCCGCCCGGACACCUCGGGAACGCGGACGAUCUCCCUGACAACACCCCUCCAGGUCCGGCAGACGCCGGCGCACGCCACCACGUCGCGGCGGCGCGGCCACCGCGGCUCCGACGCCUCGACCCGCGCCAGCACCUCCCGCAGGAGCUCCGGCGGCAGCUCCGCCCAGCAGCAGCCCUGCCGCGCGGCCUCCUCCUCCGUCGCCACCGCCGCCACCCGCCGGACGCCGCGCGCCGACGGAAGCGGCCGGCGCCGGGCGAUGGCGUCCACCUCGCCCUUCAUCUCCCGGACCAUGCUCCUGAAAGACAUCGCCUUCUCCGCCCGCCCCCGGCGGCCAAAUCCGCCCAAUCCCCCACCGAAUCCUGCCAAGAAACCGCGGUUCCAAGCAAUCCCACCAACUUAUGGCACAAAAAAGGUGCCGCUGGGAUGUCAACGGAUUGCAAUUCUCUGCAGCGGCGGCAUCAAUAUGGCAUGGACGGAUGUGGGUGGGAGAUGGUUGCUGCUGCCUUUGGGUAG
Molecule: ribosomal RNA, 579 nt
Filed under: Triticum aestivum (bread wheat)
Lineage: Eukaryota; Viridiplantae; Streptophyta; Magnoliopsida; Poales; Poaceae
Description: partial small subunit ribosomal RNA
Source: RNAcentral